RNAcentral lists this ribosomal RNA (550 nucleotides) under uncultured bacterium. RNAcentral describes it as "bacterial SSU rRNA". It matches the Rfam family "Bacterial small subunit ribosomal RNA", at positions 355 to 896 of the family's 1533-position model. The record is from RNAcentral.
UGGGGAAUCUUCCGCAAUGGACGAAAGUCUGACGGAGCAACGCCGCGUGAGUGAUGACGGCCUUCGGGUUGUAAAGCUCUGUUAAUCGGGACGAAUGGCUACCAUGCGAAUAGUUUGGCAGCUUGACGGUACCGGAAUAGAAAGCCACGGCUAACUACGUGCCAGCAGCCGCGGUAAUACGUAGGUGGCAAGCGUUGUCCGGAAUUAUUGGGCGUAAAGCGCGCGCAGGCGGAUCUGCCAGUCUGUCUUAAAAGUUCGGGGCUCAACCCCGUGAUGGGAUGGAAACUACAGAUCUAGAGUAUCGGAGGGGAAAGUGGAAUUCCUAGUGUAGCGGUGAAAUGCGUAGAUAUUAGGAGGAACACCAGUGGCGAAGGCGACUUUCUGGACGAUCACUGACGCUGAGGCGCGAAAGCCAGGGGAGCGAACGGGAUUAGAUACCCCGGUAGUCCUGGCCGUAAACGAUGGGUACUAGGUGUAGGAGGUAUCGACCCCUUCUGUGCCGCAGUUAACGCAGUAAGUACCCCGCCUGGGGAGUACGGCCGCAAGGUUG